Molecule: ribosomal RNA, 2145 nt
Filed under: Escherichia coli
Lineage: Bacteria; Pseudomonadati; Pseudomonadota; Gammaproteobacteria; Enterobacterales; Enterobacteriaceae
Description: partial 23S ribosomal RNA
Rfam family: Bacterial large subunit ribosomal RNA
Source: RNAcentral
GAAACCGUGUACGUACAAGCAGUGGGAGCCUCUUAAUGGGGUGACUGCGUACCUUUUGUAUAAUGGGUCAGCGACUUAUAUUCUGUAGCAAGGUUAACCGAAUAGGGGAGCCGAAGGGAAACCGAGUCUUAACUGGGCGUUAAGUUGCAGGGUAUAGACCCGAAACCCGGUGAUCUAGCCAUGGGCAGGUUGAAGGUUGGGUAACACUAACUGGAGGACCGAACCGACUAAUGUUGAAAAAUUAGCGGAUGACUUGUGGCUGGGGGUGAAAGGCCAAUCAAACCGGGAGAUAGCUGGUUCUCCCCGAAAGCUAUUUAGGUAGCGCCUCGUGAAUUCAUCUCCGGGGGUAGAGCACUGUUUCGGCAAGGGGGUCAUCCCGACUUACCAACCCGAUGCAAACUGCGAAUACCGGAGAAUGUUAUCACGGGAGACACACGGCGGGUGCUAACGUCCGUCGUGAAGAGGGAAACAACCCAGACCGCCAGCUAAGGUCCCAAAGUCAUGGUUAAGUGGGAAACGAUGUGGGAAGGCCCAGACAGCCAGGAUGUUGGCUUAGAAGCAGCCAUCAUUUAAAGAAAGCGUAAUAGCUCACUGGUCGAGUCGGCCUGCGCGGAAGAUGUAACGGGGCUAAACCAUGCACCGAAGCUGCGGCAGCGACACUAUGUGUUGUUGGGUAGGGGAGCGUUCUGUAAGCCUGUGAAGGUGGCCUGUGAGGGUUGCUGGAGGUAUCAGAAGUGCGAAUGCUGACAUAAGUAACGAUAAAGCGGGUGAAAAGCCCGCUCGCCGGAAGACCAAGGGUUCCUGUCCAACGUUAAUCGGGGCAGGGUGAGUCGACCCCUAAGGCGAGGCCGAAAGGCGUAGUCGAUGGGAAACAGGUUAAUAUUCCUGUACUUGGUGUUACUGCGAAGGGGGGACGGAGAAGGCUAUGUUGGCCGGGCGACGGUUGUCCCGGUUUAAGCGUGUAGGCUGGUUUUCCAGGCAAAUCCGGAAAACCAAGGCUGAGGCGUGAUGACGAGGCACUACGGUGCUGAAGUGACAAAUGCCCUGCUUCCAGGAAAAGCCUCUAAGCAUCAGGUAACAUCAAAUCGUACCCCAAACCGACACAGGUGGUCAGGUAGAGAAUACCAAGGCGCUUGAGAGAACUCGGGUGAAGGAACUAGGCAAAAUGGUGCCGUAACUUCGGGAGAAGGCACGCUGAUAUGUAGGUGAAGCGACUUGCUCGUGGAGCUGAAAUCAGUCGAAGAUACCAGCUGGCUGCAACUGUUUAUUAAAAACACAGCACUGUGCAAACACGAAAGUGGACGUAUACGGUGUGACGCCUGCCCGGUGCCGGAAGGUUAAUUGAUGGGGUUAGCGGUAACGCGAAGCUCUUGAUCGAAGCCCCGGUAAACGGCGGCCGUAACUAUAACGGUCCUAAGGUAGCGAAAUUCCUUGUCGGGUAAGUUCCGACCUGCACGAAUGGCGUAAUGAUGGCCAGGCUGUCUCCACCCGAGACUCAGUGAAAUUGAACUCGCUGUGAAGAUGCAGUGUACCCGCGGCAAGACGGAAAGACCCCGUGAACCUUUACUAUAGCUUGACACUGAACAUUGAGCCUUGAUGUGUAGGAUAGGUGGGAGGCUUUGAAGUGUGGACGCCAGUCUGCAUGGAGCCGACCUUGAAAUACCACCCUUUAAUGUUUGAUGUUCUAACGUUGGCCCCUAAUCGGGGUUGCGGACAGUGUCUGGUGGGUAGUUUGACUGGGGCGGUCUCCUCCUAAAGAGUAACGGAGGAGCACGAAGGUUGGCUAAUCCUGGUCGGACAUCAGGAGGUUAGUGCAAUGGCAUAAGCCAGCUUGACUGCGAGCGUGACGGCGCGAGCAGGUGCGAAAGCAGGUCAUAGUGAUCCGGUGGUUCUGAAUGGAAGGGCCAUCGCUCAACGGAUAAAAGGUACUCCGGGGAUAACAGGCUGAUACCGCCCAAGAGUUCAUAUCGACGGCGGUGUUUGGCACCUCGAUGUCGGCUCAUCACAUCCUGGGGCUGAAGUAGGUCCCAAGGGUAUGGCUGUUCGCCAUUUAAAGUGGUACGCGAGCUGGGUUUAGAACGUCGUGAGACAGUUCGGUCCCUAUCUGCCGUGGGCGCUGGAGAACUGAGGGGGGCUGCUCCUAGU